GGAUUCUGCAGUGACUGUCUUUCUUUUUUUAAUAAGAUAUUUGUCCAUGAUUUCCAAUUUUGGAUCGUCAACAACUUUUUACAAAUUUAUAAUACCAAUGACGGGCGACAAUGUAUGUUUCCGUAAAAAAGCUUCAAAGAAAAAGACGAUGAUCUAGUAUUUUCUUAUUUGAAAUAAAACUAAGUGUCAAGUACAUGAAAAUAUUUCAUAUUUUUUUUUUUUUUUUGCCAAAAAAAACUAGUGAGGCAGUUGCCUCAUUGCCUCAAUGGAAGCUACGCCACUGA
RNAcentral lists this long non-coding RNA (284 nucleotides) under Mytilus galloprovincialis (Mediterranean mussel). Lineage: Eukaryota; Metazoa; Mollusca; Bivalvia; Mytilida; Mytilidae. The record is from RNAcentral.